This 541-nucleotide ribosomal RNA is filed under the name uncultured freshwater bacterium. Its description in RNAcentral is "bacterial SSU rRNA". It matches the Rfam family "Bacterial small subunit ribosomal RNA", at positions 8 to 546 of the family's 1533-position model. The record is from RNAcentral.
AGAGUUUGAUCCUGGCUCAGAUUGAACGCUGGCGGCAUGCCUUACACAUGCAAGUCGAACGGUAACGCGGGGCAACCUGGCGACGAGUGGCGAACGGGUGAGUAACGCAUCGGAACGUGCCCAGUAGUGGGGGAUAGCCCGGCGAAAGCCGGAUUAAUACCGCAUACGACCUACGGGUGAAAGCGGGGGACCGUAAGGCCUCGCGCUAUUGGAGCGGCCGAUGUCAGAUUAGGUAGUUGGUGGGGUAAAAGCCUACCAAGCCGACGAUCUGUAGCUGGUCUGAGAGGACGACCAGCCACACUGGGACUGAGACACGGCCCAGACUCCUACGGGAGGCAGCAGUGGGGAAUUUUGGACAAUGGGCGCAAGCCUGAUCCAGCCAUGCCGCGUGCGGGAUGAAGGCCUUCGGGUUGUAAACCGCUUUUGUCAGGGAAGAAACGCUCCGGGCCAAUACCCUGNGGUAAUGACGGUACCUGAAGAAUAAGCACCGGCUAACUACGUGCCAGCAGCCGCGGUAAUACGUAGGGUGCAAGCGUUAAUC